Molecule: long non-coding RNA, 501 nt
Organism: Phoenix dactylifera (date palm)
Lineage: Eukaryota; Viridiplantae; Streptophyta; Magnoliopsida; Arecales; Arecaceae
Source: RefSeq, a predicted model, not a curated record
CCCAAACCUCUUUCCCCCAGGAGCCAUCCCUUCCCUCCCGCUUUCGAAACGGAGUUUCUUGAGUUUCUUGUUCCUCCCGACUGGAGCUCUGAUCUCAUUCAUCGGAGAAGAGUUGCCAUCGUCGCACAGAUAGGAAGCUUUUCGGAUCGCGGUACGAGUUCUUAGCUGCCCCCUUUCGUCGUCCGGAUCGAGAUGCUGAGGUUGCUGAAAUGAUGGAGAAGCUCACAGCUGUCAAUAAGAUAUGCCUGAGCAAGGGAAAAAUGUAUUACCAUUGAGGAGCAGCAACAUAGUGUACUAUAAUAUUCAACAAUUUUUUCAGUCUGUUUACUUUGUUAGGACUCAGGAUCAUUUAUUGUGUUGCAUCUUCAAUCUGUGGAAACUAGAUUAGGAUUCGGACAUAAUGAUAUUCAAAUAAAGGUGAACUUUCUACUGGACAUACUCAGAAAAACCUCUCCUACCACUCAAUGUCAAAGUUGCAGUCUUUAGUAAUUUUCUUUUCUA